UACGUAGGGGGCUAGCGUUGUCCGGAUUUAUUGGGCGUAAAGAGCGUGUAGGCGGCCAUGUAGGUCCGGUGUGAAAACUCGAGGCUUAACCUCGAGAUGUCAUCGGAAACCAUUUGGCUAGAGUCCGGAAGAGGAAAGUGGAAUUCCUGGUGUAGCGGUGAAAUGCGUAGAUAUCAGGAAGAACACCCGUGGCGAAGGCGGUUCUCUAGUACGGUACUGACGCUCAGACGCGAAAGCGUGGGGAGCGAACAGG
This 253-nucleotide ribosomal RNA is filed under the name uncultured bacterium. RNAcentral describes it as "partial 16S ribosomal RNA". It matches the Rfam family "Bacterial small subunit ribosomal RNA", at positions 524 to 776 of the family's 1533-position model. The record is from RNAcentral.